UCGUGACCCUGACCAAAACAGACCGCGCACGCGUCAUCCAAUCCGUCGGUGACGGCAUCGUCCGUCGCUCGGCCAAUGCCUCGACCACCUCCCCUCCUCGGAGUGGGUGGGGGCUCGGGGUAAAAGAACCCACGGCGCCGAAGGCGUCAAGGAACACUGUGCCUAACCCGGGGGCAUGGCUAGCUUGCUAGCCGUCCCUCGUGUUGCAAAGCUAUUUAAUCCACACGACUCUCGGCAACGGAUAUCUCGGCUCUCGCAUCGAUGAAGAACGUAGCGAAAUGCGAUACCUGGUGUGAAUUGCAGAAUCCCGCGAACCAUCGAGUCUUUGAACGCAAGUUGCGCCCGAGGCCACUCGGCCGAGGGCACGCCUGCCUGGGCGUCACGCCAAAACACGCUCCCAACACCCUCAUCGGGAAUUGGGAUGCGGCAUCUGGUCCCUCGUCUCUCAAGGGACGGUGGACCGAAGAUCGGGCUGCCGGUGUACCGCGCCGGACACAGCGCAUGGUGGGCGUCCUCGCUUUAUCAACGCAGUGCAUCCGACGCGUAGCCGACAUGAUGGCCUCAAAACGACCCAGUAAACGAAGCGCACGUCGCUUCGACC
RNAcentral lists this ribosomal RNA (601 nucleotides) under Henrardia persica. Its description in RNAcentral is "eukaryotic LSU rRNA". The stretch from base 227 to 382 matches the Rfam family "5.8S ribosomal RNA". Lineage: Eukaryota; Viridiplantae; Streptophyta; Magnoliopsida; Poales; Poaceae. The record is from RNAcentral.